Xenia sp. Carnegie-2017 is the source of this 550-nucleotide long non-coding RNA. RefSeq lists it as uncharacterized. The record is from RefSeq and is a predicted model, not a curated record. The transcript is spliced from 2 exons. Lineage: Eukaryota; Metazoa; Cnidaria; Anthozoa; Malacalcyonacea; Xeniidae.
GUUUCAAACUUGUUUUCCAGGGUCGUCAGCUGUUUGGGAGUGAAUGGAACUCUGGGAUUGCGACCGGGCUUUCGUUUCUGUUUCGGUCGACGUUUACUUGACUCUGAAACAGGACAAGACACAGCGUCGAGACAUGGGAAUGAUGUACUGGCAGUAAAUCUACUUUGAAACUUGAAGAAUUGGAAGUCAAGCUUCUCUUGGGCUGUUGUGUAAAGUAUGAAAGGAUUGAAAUAUGGCCUUGUUCUUUUCUUCAUAUUGUGUUUUUUUUCUUCCUGCUGUGCAAAACCAAAAUGGUUGUGGUUGAAUGGCGAAUCUUUGGACAAUCCCAUUGAACUGGAAAACAAAAAGGAAAAGCGUCAGCUGCGUCACCAUAUGAAAAAAAGAGGAUGUGAAUUAUUAUCUAACUUAAAAAUGUGUGGAAGAAGACGUUCAAAAAUCUUUAUGGACAAUAAAUAAAUGUGUUCAUUAAAGUGUAUUGUUCAUUGUUCGUUUAUUAUCAGCUUAUUCUAUCAAACACUAAAAUUAUACAAAUAUAAUUGUAUGAAAAUAU